CAGCCGCCGCGGUAAGACAGAGGAUGCAAGCGUUAUCCAGAAUGAUUAGGCGUAAAGCGUCUGUAGGUGGCUUUUCAAGUCCACCGUCAAAUCCUCGGGCUCAACCCUCGAUAGGCAGUGGAAACUACCAAGAUGGAGUACGGUAGGGGCAGAGGGAAUUUCCGGUGGAGCGGUGAAAUGCGUUGAGAUCGGAAAGAACACCGAUGGUGAAAGCACUCUGCUGGGCCGACACUGACACUGAGAGACGAAAGCUAGGGGAGCAAAUGGGAUUAGAGACCCCAGUAGUCCCUGUCUCUUAUAC
Molecule: ribosomal RNA, 301 nt
Filed under: uncultured bacterium
Lineage: Bacteria
Description: partial 16S ribosomal RNA
Rfam family: Bacterial small subunit ribosomal RNA
Source: RNAcentral